UGCCAGCAGCCGCGGUAAUACGGAGGGGGCGAGCGUUGUUCGGAAUUACUGGGCUUAAAGGGUGCGUAGGCGGUCCUAUAAGUUGGGUGUGAAAUACCUCGGCUCAACCGAGGAAUUGCGCCCAAUACUGUAGAACUAGAGGGAGACAGAGGUGAGCGGAACUUGUGGUGGAGCGGUGAAAUGCGUUGAUAUUACAAGGAACACCUGUGGCGAAAGCGGCUCACUGGGUCUCUUCUGACGCUGAGGCACGAAAGCUGGGGGAGCGAACGGGAUUAGAUA
Molecule: ribosomal RNA, 279 nt
Filed under: uncultured bacterium
Lineage: Bacteria
Description: partial 16S ribosomal RNA
Rfam family: Bacterial small subunit ribosomal RNA
Source: RNAcentral